AGUGAAUAGCUAAAUUAAGUUAGUCAUUUACAUUGAUUAGAUACCUGUGGGUUUUACUUUU
RNAcentral lists this transfer RNA (61 nucleotides) under Russelliana sp. Its description in RNAcentral is "tRNA-Val". Lineage: Eukaryota; Metazoa; Arthropoda; Insecta; Hemiptera; Psyllidae. The record is from RNAcentral.